Phacochoerus africanus (Common warthog) is the source of this 1022-nucleotide long non-coding RNA. RefSeq lists it as uncharacterized. The record is from RefSeq and is a predicted model, not a curated record. Lineage: Eukaryota; Metazoa; Chordata; Mammalia; Artiodactyla; Suidae. The transcript has 3 exons.
CCUUUUUCGGAGAAUAGAGGACUUCAGGACCACACUGGUGGAAUUGCCCUUGGACUUCUGUCUCCAGAACUGUGAAGAAAAAAAAAAUCCUAUUGAAAUUGAACACAGCCCUGUAGGGCCCCUGGGCGCAAAAGCCUUUCUGUGUCCCCCAGCUCUUGUUCUUAGGAAAUGGGCCUCGUUCAGCCACCAUGACCUCCGCUGAGUUCCUGCGGACAGGGUCUGACAGUUGCUGAUCAGGGAAGGGAAGGGAUGAAAGACAAGGGAGGAACAGUCAAAGACAACGUAGGGUCCUUCCUGUCCUUCUCCCUGCCUUAACUGCACUCUAAACACCCAUAAGCUAAAGAUGAGGCACCCUGAGCACAACUGCCCGUGGGUUAAGAUUAUUAUUAGUACAUGAGGUUUUUCAGGACUUUUCCUAGUGUGUUCUAAUCUCUGAUCCAUAUGCCCCCUUUGCAAAUACUGUUAUUCUAGACAAUAACCCAGAAGACCACCAUCAGGAUCAGGCUGAGAUCACCUGCUCCAGCUUUGAUGACUGAGAUUCCCCCAAAGAAGGAAGAACAUGUGUUUGUCCCAAUCCUGAUUCCUAUCUGAAAACCUGCUUUCCUCCUUUUUACUAUAAAAUUCCUAGCAAUUCUUUCCUAUGGGGGGUUGUGGGCAGGCAUUGUCUUUAGGGUAUUAGCCUGCUGUGACCCUGCCUUUGCCUGGCAGAGCAAUAAAGCUAGUUUUUCUCCUUGACCCAAAACUCUGUCUCUGCAUAUCUGUUCACCAUCGGCAGACAGAGGCGGAAUUCUGGCAACACUGUUGUUUAAGUUCAAGGACUUUUUUUUGGCAGGCUAACUAAGCAAACGGAUACAGCAGCUAUGGAGGAAAAUAAAGCAGAGAAAAGGCCUGAGAAUGAGGAGGCAUGUCUCGUCUCCAUCUCCAGGCCCUAUGCAAGCUAACUAGUUCUACGCUCUAUUAAAAUUUGAGUUCUUUGAUCUCAUCCAUUCCUCAUUUUUCCACUCCCAGUGGAGAUUUCUUUU